This 450-nucleotide ribosomal RNA is filed under the name Triticum aestivum (bread wheat). Its description in RNAcentral is "partial small subunit ribosomal RNA". The record is from RNAcentral. Lineage: Eukaryota; Viridiplantae; Streptophyta; Magnoliopsida; Poales; Poaceae.
AUGCAACGCAUGGCCACAUCAUACUUCAAGGAGGUUUAUACGAAAGAUCCAACUCUCAAUCUGGAGAGUGUCUUGGAGGGUAUCACAUCUAAGGUAACUCAAGGUAUGAACGAUACCCUAUGUGCUCCCUUCUCGGAGGAGGAGGUAUCAAAUGCCCUCUUUCAAAUCGGUCCGCUUAAAGCGCCAGGGAUGGACGGCGUCCCGGCGAGGUUUUUUCAACGAAACUGGGUCGUGCUGAAAUCUGAGAUCAUAGCUGUUGUGCUGGAGUUCUUUAAGUCAGGAGAUAUGCCGGACGGGGUGAACGACACGGCUAUCAUUCUUAUCCUGAAAAUUCCUUUUCCAAAGGAACUCAAGGAUUUUAGACCGAUAAGCUUGUGUAACGUCAUCUACAAGAUUGUUUCAAAAUGCCUCGUGAACAGACUAAGGACGUUGCUCGCGGAGCUCAUCUAA